Long non-coding RNA from Papaver somniferum (opium poppy), 392 nucleotides. RefSeq lists it as uncharacterized. The transcript has 3 exons. The record is from RefSeq and is a predicted model, not a curated record. Lineage: Eukaryota; Viridiplantae; Streptophyta; Magnoliopsida; Ranunculales; Papaveraceae.
UGAAAUGUCAACUGUUAAUCUCUUUUGUUUGUCUUCAUAUUGACGUUUAGUUGUGGUUUUCUGCAGGACAAUAUUGCACUUACAGUAAUAUUGGAGGCAAUUAAAGCUGAACCGGUUUCUGACACGUUAAAUCAUCGAAUUUGUGUGGAAAAUGUUCAUGUAUCUGCGGACCCAGAGAAUACAGAUGUAAAACUAUGGCAGGUAUUUUAGUGCUGCUCAUACUCUUCUAGUUAAUGCCGAAGCUUGGGCAUACAGAACUCCUCAAAGCUACAAAAGUUUCUUAUUGAUUUGAUGUAGUCAUUGUCUGUGACAGGGUCUUCUGGUAAAAUUGAAGUAUUUAUGAAGCUUAGUUCAGCUUCGGGUCUGAGUUCAAUUCAGAACUGCGAGUAUGG